Molecule: ribosomal RNA, 403 nt
Filed under: uncultured bacterium
Lineage: Bacteria
Description: bacterial SSU rRNA
Rfam family: Bacterial small subunit ribosomal RNA
Source: RNAcentral
UGGGGAAUCUUGCACAAUGGGGGCAACCCUGAUGCAGCGACGCCGCGUGAGCGAUGAAGCCCUUCGGGGCGUAAAGCUCUUUCGGCAGGAACGAUAAUGACGGUACCUGCAGAAGAAGCUGCGGCUAACUACGUGCCAGCAGCCGCGGUAAUACGUAGGCAGCAAGCGUUGUUCGGAGUUACUGGGCGUAAAGAGUAUGUAGGCGGUGUUCUAAGUUCGGUGUGAAAUCUCCCGGCUCAACUGGGAGGGUGCGCCGAAGACUGGGAUGCUGGAGUCUCGGAGAGGAACGCGGAAUUCCUGGUGUAGCGGUGAAAUGCGUAGAUAUCAGGAGGAACACCAGUGGUGUAGACGGCGUUCUGGACGAGUACUGACGCUGAGAUACGAAAGCGUGGGGAGCAAACAG